Long non-coding RNA from Salvelinus fontinalis (brook trout), 245 nucleotides. RefSeq lists it as uncharacterized. The transcript has 3 exons. Lineage: Eukaryota; Metazoa; Chordata; Actinopteri; Salmoniformes; Salmonidae. The record is from RefSeq and is a predicted model, not a curated record.
AAAUGCAGAGCUUGCUGCCAGGUGGAAGUACUGUGCUCUCAGUACAGAGAAACUCCGGCGCCCUAUUGUUGCUUGUGAUCUGGGAAGACUGUAUAACAAAGAUGCUGUGAUUGAGUACCUUCUGGAUAAAUCUGCAGAUACAACCUCGCUGUUGGGUCUAUCACACCUUUGUGGCAUUAAGGAUAUAAAGGAGCUGAACCUGAUUGACAACCCAGCCUGGGAGGGCGAUAGGAGGAACACGAAAG